GACUGCUGUAGGGCAGUGGUAGAACACCCCUGGAUUCAAUUGCCAGUACUGGAAAAAUAAAUGAAUUGAAUUGUGUAUGUAUUUUAAACUCAGGUGUCUGUGACACCCCUGUAGCCAUUGGUGUGAUACUCCUGGUGUUACCCACACUUUAUGCUACAGAUGAAGAGCUGAGGCCCAGGAGGGUGGGCUGAGUUGCUCAGAAUCAUCAAUCCCAGCUGGGGCCAUCUUCUGGGCUGGGCCUCCUGACUCCCAGACUAGUGCUCCUCAGCAUGCUACAGCCUGGUGGUUCAACCUCUCACCCUGAGAGGCCUCUCACCUUGGCCCCUUGCCCGUUUCCCUGGCAGAUAAAGGCCUCAGACAGAUGGCAAACAGAACUCAGUUCCAGAGUCAACACAGGUCUGAUUCAUCCAGUGGUUUGUGCCUGCACGAGCCCCAAGGCUGUCUUCUGAAAGAUCCUCUCCUCUUUUUAUCACUUAUUCUCUUCACUGUGGCCAGAUUGGGACUCUUGAGCAACAGGAAAGAUACCUGUGAAUGUGAGAAUUGCACUGGUUUUUUAAAGAGGGUUUUCCAAGCCACAGGGCUCCAUCUGUCCCAUUCCCCUGGGCAGCUUAGAGCAUUACCC
Molecule: long non-coding RNA, 622 nt
Filed under: Marmota monax (woodchuck)
Lineage: Eukaryota; Metazoa; Chordata; Mammalia; Rodentia; Sciuridae
Source: RNAcentral